CCGAACCUCAUCCCCCACUCCUCGUUGUGAGAGAGAGAAAGAGAGAGAAACCCCCUUCUGCCCUUUUGCCCCUGCAAAUCUCUCUUCCGAUCCUUUUUCCCAUUCACCCUCCCAUCUUUUCCUGAAAUCCCUUCCAUAUCCCUCUCCCAUCUCUCCCUCCAAAAACCCUCCGCAAAACCCCAGCUUCUUUCCUCCCUUCGAUUUGAACCCUAAACCCAGAUCAGAUCCCUUUCCAGCCUUUGGAUCUCUCACCCCCCAGCUUCGAAUCUCCGUUCCAGAAUCUGUUUCUGUCGAGAGAUCGAAGCUUCUAGAGCUUCCAUUGCUCCUCUACAAUGGGGCUGAUUUCCAUUCUCGAGAAUUUGGGUUUUUCUGCAAGAUUAUUGCCUUCAUCGCCGAUUUCUUCCUGAUGUAUUUUUCUAGAUCGAAUUUCGUAUUCUUCGUUUGGUCUUAGCAGGAUUGAUUGAAUUCCAUGUAUCGGUUGGAGAAUUCGAGCGAAAUCCGGCGGACAGCUGCGGAAGACGAAUCAUUCGGGUAGAGAAGGAGGCGAUUUUACGGCUUUUUAUUUGGUUUGAGAAUUUUGCUGUAUUUGAAUUUUUGGUGGUUUGGUUUUGUUGAUGGCUAAUCACGACUUGGUUCUUGGGAACCAUGAUUUAGCACUUGGGCGUAAUCGUAAUUUGGUUCUUGGAUCAACCCGUGAUCAUGAUCUCCGUAUCAGACAUGCCCAUGACCGUGACAGAUCUCUUGGACAGACCCAUGAUCACAACCACAACCACAACCACAACCAUGGCAGUUCGGACCCCACUCAUGAUCAUGAAUUGGGUCUUGCCGGGCAGUCCCACGAGCUAGAUAUGGCUGAAAACCAUGAAUUGAGCAUUUCGGAGAAUCACGAGUUGGGUGUUGAUCAGAGUCUAGAGCUGACUGUCGAUCAGAACCAGGAUCUGGCCAUCCAAUCUUCUCAGGAAGUCACUGUGGCUCACUCCCAACUGGUCGUCACUCCUGUCCUUCAGAGCCGUGCAGUUGUCCCGCAACCUAACAAUGAGCUAACAGUUGGGCAGGAGUUUCCGGACGUCAUAAGCUGUAGACGUGCAUUGAGAAAUGCAGCCAUCGCUCUUCACUUUGAGAUACAGACGGUGAAGUCCGACAAGACCCGUUUCACUGCCAAGUGUGCGAGCGAGGGAUGCCCGUGGCGGAUACACGCCGCAAAGCUUCCAGGUGUCCCGACCUUCACGAUCAGGACCAUCCAUGAGGCGCAUACAUGUGGAGGGAUCACCCAUCUUGGCCAUCAGCAAGCAUCGGUCCAAUGGGUUGCCAGCUCCGUCGAGGAACGGUUGCGCGAGAACCCAAAUUGCAAGCCAAAGGAGAUUUUGGAAGAGAUCCAUCGGGUCCACGGUAUCACCUUAUCAUACAAGCAAGCAUGGCGAGGAAAGGAGCGGAUCAUGGCAACUGUUCGCGGGUCAUUUGAAGAAGGGUAUCGUCUUCUUCCACAAUACUGUGACCAGAUUAAACGGACAAACCCGGGAAGCAUUGCAUCAGUCUACGGGAACCCGGUGGAUAACUGCUUCCAACGCCUUUUUGUCUCGUUUCACGCAUCAAUCUUUGGCUUUGUGAAUGCCUGCCGGCCACUUCUUGGGCUUGAUCGGACACUUCUCAAAAGCAAGUAUCUUGGGACCUUGCUUUUUGCCACCGGUUUUGAUGGAGAUGGAGCUCUGUUUCCUUUGGCAUUUGGGGUUGUUGAUGAGGAAAACGACGAUAACUGGAUGUGGUUUUUAUCUGAACUACAUAACCUGCUCGAGGUCAAUACAGAGAACAUGCCGAGGCUCACAAUAUUAUCUGAUAGGCAGAAAGGCAUUGUAGAAGGAGUGGAAUGUAAUUUCCCAACCGCAUUUCACGGGUUCUGCAUGCGCCAUCUUAGUGAUAGCUUCCGCAAAGAGUUCAAUAAUACGAUGCUCGUUAACCUCCUCUGGGAAGCUGCCCAUGCCUUGACAGUCAUUGAGUUCGAAGCCAAGAUACUAGAGAUUGAAGAAAUUUCGCGAGAUGCUGCUUAUUGGAUCCGGCGCAUUCCGCCCCGUCUCUGGGCAACAGCAUAUUUUGAGGGAACACGGUUUGGGCAUCUGACCGCGAAUAUAGUUGAAUCAUUGAAUAGUUGGAUACUGGAGGCAUCUGGACUACCGAUAAUUCAGAUGAUGGAGUGUAUCCGUCGCCAGCUAAUGACAUGGUUCAAUGAACGGCGAGAAACGAGCAUGCAGUGGACAACGAUACUCGUGCCAUCAGCUGAAAGGCGAGUGUCGGAAGCCCUUGAAUGUGCACGCAGCUUUCAGGUGCUUCGCGCAAAUGAAGCGGAGUUUGAAGUUAUCUCUCAUGAAGGAACAAAUAUUGUUGAUAUCCGAAACCGUUGUUGUCUAUGUCGUGGGUGGCAGCUCUACGGCUUGCCUUGUGCACAUGCCGUUGCAGCACUCCUCUCGUGCCGGCAAAAUGUCCAUCGGUUCACUGAGAGUUGUUUCACCCUUGCGACGUAUCGCAAGACCUACUCACAGACUAUACAUCCGGUCCCAGAUAAAAGCCUUUGGAAGGAGUUGACUGAGGGAACACAAAACGGAGGCAAUGGUGUUGAUAUUGUCAUAAAUCCACCCAAGUCUCUUCGACCGCCAGGACGGCCAAGAAAGAAGCGGGUUCGUGCAGAGGACCGUGGCCGGAUAAAGCGAGUAGUACAUUGUAGCCGUUGUAACCAGACGGGGCAUUUUAGAACAACAUGUGCAGCACCUAUAUAAGUCUUCUCUGUUGAGUCAACAGUGCACUCUUCAUUGGCAAAUUGGUGAUGGCAGAAUGACUGGCCAAUCUUAAAGAAUCAUUGGGCCUUUAGCCUCAGCAAAUCUAUCCUUUGCAGUGGCGCAGGAUUUCCUGAAUGUGAGGCCCAUGGUCCGUGAUCCAGACUAUUGAUCUGAUGGCCGCUACCAUGGAUUGAACCCUCGAAAAUCUUCCAGAUUGGAAGAUCCUAAUCUCAUCUGAUCAAUGGUCUGAUCCACCGAAUUAUGGGCAUCCUACAUAUAAAAAGUCUCUUGACCCCACAAAAUAUGCUUUUGCUCAGAGCUGAUAUUGGACUGGCCUGACUUUUGGGAGCAAAUGGUGUGGACUUCACACACGCUGACACUUUAGACAUAUGCUGUGAAUUGCUUUGAUCUCUUGCAAAUUUCCCCAGCACUUCAUAUAAUGGAAUUUUUACUACUACAUGUUUGUUAUUCUUGAACAGAUUCUUUCAGGUGUCUGGUAAUCCUCAACACGGUUUUCUGUAAUCUUAUUCUGACUAUAGCAUCUGUUUUUUCUC
Molecule: RNA transcript, 3322 nt
Organism: Magnolia sinica
Lineage: Eukaryota; Viridiplantae; Streptophyta; Magnoliopsida; Magnoliales; Magnoliaceae
Exons: 5
Source: RefSeq, a predicted model, not a curated record